Molecule: ribosomal RNA, 429 nt
Filed under: Bacteroidota bacterium
Lineage: Bacteria; Pseudomonadati; Bacteroidota
Description: Bacteroidetes bacterium partial 16S ribosomal RNA
Rfam family: Bacterial small subunit ribosomal RNA
Source: RNAcentral
UAGGGAAUCUUCCGCAAUGGACGCAAGUCUGACGGAGCAACGCCGCGUGAGUGAAGAAGGAUUUCGGUUCGUAAAACUCUGUUGUUAGAGAAGAACAGCGCAUAGAGUAACUGUUAUGCGUGUGACGGUAUCUAACCAGAAAGCCACGGCUAACUACGUGCCAGCAGCCGCGGUAAUACGUAGGUGGCAAGCGUUAUCCGGAAUUAUUGGGCGUAAAGCGCGCGUAGGCGGUUUUUUAAGUCUGAUGUGAAAGCCCCCGGCUCAACCGGGGAGGGUCAUUGGAAACUGGUUGACUUGAGUGCAGAAGAGGAGAGUGGAAUUCCAUGUGUAGCGGUGAAAUGCGUAGAUAUAUGGAGGAACACCAGUGGCGAAGGCGACUCUCUGGUCUGUAACUGACGCUGAGGUUCGAAAGCGUGGGUAGCAAACAGG